GAUGAAGAACGUAGCGAAAUGCGAUAAGUAGUGUGAAUUGCAGAAUUCCGUGAACCAUCGAAUCUUUGAACGCACAUUGCGCCUUCUGGUAUUCCGGAAGGCAUGCCUGUUCGAGAGUCAUUAACAACCGUUUCGAUCCCUUUCUUUCAGAAAUUACAAAGAGGAAAAGGGUUUGGUUAUGGUGGAGGAGGGAAAGGGAGCGUUUAGCCUGUAAAAAAAGAGGCUGUGUUCCGCCUCCCCCCCAAAAUUGUACAGGCGGUCGUGUGCGCCCACGCAUCGAGGUGUUGUAAAAGCUGCCACGGCACUUUUCACCUGUGCAGUGCGAGAUUGGCCAGCCGGUUUAAAAACCCCUCCAAACAAUCAAAGGUUGACCUCGGAUCAGGUAGGGAUACCCGCUGAACUUAAGCAUAUCAAUAAGCGGAGGA
RNAcentral lists this unclassified non-coding RNA (425 nucleotides) under soil metagenome. RNAcentral describes it as "partial contains 5.8S ribosomal RNA, internal transcribed spacer 2, and large subunit ribosomal RNA". The stretch from base 1 to 120 matches the Rfam family "5.8S ribosomal RNA", at positions 35 to 154 of the family's 154-position model. The record is from RNAcentral.